This is a small nucleolar RNA of Diceros bicornis minor, 77 nucleotides long. RefSeq annotates it as small nucleolar RNA SNORD72. The transcript has a single exon. The record is from RefSeq and is a predicted model, not a curated record. Lineage: Eukaryota; Metazoa; Chordata; Mammalia; Perissodactyla; Rhinocerotidae.
AGCUUAUCUGUGAUGUAAAAAUAAAUGUCUGAACAUAUGAAUUCAGUAUUGAUUUCAGCAUGUAACUGAGAUAAGCU